UCUUUCGACUGGUCAUGUCAAAUUUAGGAUUUUAAUAGUAAUAUAUCUUGAACUUCUAAGUUCUCACUGAAAGAAUAGCUAGGGUUAGUGAAAAUCUUGAGGAAUAAAUUUCGGUUCAGACAUCCAAAUGUGUAUAUUACUUGGCUCAAUAUAUAUAGACCUGCAUAACUUUAAAUAUACUUUAUAACUCCAUCCCUAAAAAGGAUUUGUUAACAUGUCUUUCUUCUAAGAAACCCUCCCUCUGAACUGGAGUC
RNAcentral lists this long non-coding RNA (254 nucleotides) under Brassica napus (rape). RNAcentral describes it as "long non-coding RNA (BNAP_LNC009812)". The record is from RNAcentral. Lineage: Eukaryota; Viridiplantae; Streptophyta; Magnoliopsida; Brassicales; Brassicaceae.